UUUUUAUACUGCAAAUCUAGUCAUUGACAUGUGCAUGUGAUUACGCUCAGCUAGCCUACUUUCCUAUCUAUAGAUUAUGAGCUUACUCAAAGAAGUACUUAGGAUUAUCAACUGUGUAAUCGAGGAAGCCAACAUUGACCGACUUUCAUGCGUGAGGGAGGUAAAUCGCAGGUUAUGCCUUCAAGAGUACAGGGUGGAAGACUGCUUGUACACUUGCACUUACCCAAGAGCCAAAUCCAUAUUUCAGGAUUCGAAUCCUUGACGCAGUAGCCUCAAGCAAAACUGGAUUUCUCCACUCUCCCCUUUUACCACUUGGAGAUGUGCCCUGGGGGCAAUUAUGACAAUGUAUAACAUAAGGAAGUAGAGUUGUGUAUAACUAUAAACUUAUUUUUUUCCUGGGUAGAAAGAAUAGCAUGCUCAAGUGAUUUGUACAGUUGUUAUAGGAAUUCAACUAUGAAAAAAAUAUGAAGACAAAUUUGCCACU
Olea europaea var. sylvestris is the source of this 484-nucleotide long non-coding RNA. RefSeq lists it as uncharacterized. The transcript has 2 exons. The record is from RefSeq and is a predicted model, not a curated record. Lineage: Eukaryota; Viridiplantae; Streptophyta; Magnoliopsida; Lamiales; Oleaceae.